RNAcentral lists this ribosomal RNA (489 nucleotides) under uncultured bacterium. Its description in RNAcentral is "partial 16S ribosomal RNA". It matches the Rfam family "Bacterial small subunit ribosomal RNA", at positions 29 to 507 of the family's 1533-position model. The record is from RNAcentral.
UUGAACGCUGGCGGCAUGCCUUACACCUGCAAGUCGAACGGCAUCGCGGGAAAGCUUGCUUUCCUGGCGGCGAGUGGCGAACGGGUGAGUAACACAUCGGAACGUACCGGCUAGUGGGGGAUAACCCGUCGAAAGACGGGCUAAUACCGCAUACGCUCUUCGGAGGAAAGCAGGGGACCUUUGGGCCUUGCGCUAGUCGAGCGGCCGAUGUCCGAUUAGCUAGUUGGUGGGGUAAAGGCCUACCAAGGCGACGAUCGGUAGCGGGUCUGAGAGGACGAUCCGCCACACUGGGACUGAGACACGGCCCAGACUCCUACGGGAGGCAGCAGUGGGGAAUCUUGGACAAUGGGGGCAACCCUGAUCCAGCAAUGCCGCGUGGGUGAAGAAGGCCUUCGGGUUGUAAAGCCCUUUCGGCAGGGAAGAAAUCGGCGGGGCGAAUAACCCUGCUGGAUGACGGUACCUGCAGAAGAAGCACCGGCUAACUACAUG